RNAcentral lists this ribosomal RNA (253 nucleotides) under uncultured bacterium. RNAcentral describes it as "partial 16S ribosomal RNA". It matches the Rfam family "Bacterial small subunit ribosomal RNA", at positions 524 to 776 of the family's 1533-position model. The record is from RNAcentral.
UACGUAGGGUGCAAGCGUUGUCCGGAAUUAUUGGGCGUAAAGAGCUCGUAGGCGGUCUGUCACGUCGGCUGUGAAAACCCGAGGCUCAACCUCGGGCCUGCAGUCGAUACGGGCAAACUAGAGUACUGCAGGGGAGACUGGAAUUCCUGGUGUAGCGGUGAAAUGCGCAGAUAUCAGGAGGAACACCGGUGGCGAAGGCGGCAUUCUGGACCGACAUUGACGCUGAGGAGCGAAAGCCAGGGGAGCAAACGGG